Molecule: non-coding RNA, 27 nt
Filed under: Rattus norvegicus (Norway rat)
Lineage: Eukaryota; Metazoa; Chordata; Mammalia; Rodentia; Muridae
Source: RNAcentral
UACAGGUGAAUCAGGCGACGUCUUGAA